RNAcentral lists this ribosomal RNA (921 nucleotides) under uncultured Bacteroidota bacterium. RNAcentral's name for it is "bacterial SSU rRNA". It matches the Rfam family "Bacterial small subunit ribosomal RNA", at positions 1 to 917 of the family's 1533-position model. Lineage: Bacteria; Pseudomonadati; Bacteroidota. The record is from RNAcentral.
AUCCAGACUUUGAUCAUGGCUCAGGAUGAACGCUAGCUACAGGCUUAACACAUGCAAGUCGAGGGGCAUCAGGAAGAAAGCUUGCUUUCUUUGCUGGCGACCGGCGCACGGGUGAGUAACACGUAUCCAACCUGCCCUUUACUCGGGGAUAGCCUUUCGAAAGAAAGAUUAAUACCCGAUAGCAUAAUGAUUCCGCAUGGUUUCAUUAUUAAAGGAUUCCGGUAAAGGAUGGGGAUGCGUUCCAUUAGGUUGUUGGUGAGGUAACGGCUCACCAAGCCUUCGAUGGAUAGGGGUUCUGAGAGGAAGGUCCCCCACAUUGGAACUGAGACACGGUCCAAACUCCUACGGGAGGCAGCAGUGAGGAAUAUUGGUCAAUGGGCGGUAGCCUGAACCAGCCAAGUAGCGUGAAGGAUGAAGGCUCUAUGGGUCGUAAACUUCUUUUAUAUAAGAAUAAAGUGCAGUAUGUAUACUGUUUUGUAUGUAUUAUAUGAAUAAGGAUCGGCUAACUCCGUGCCAGCAGCCGCGGUAAUACGGAGGAUCCGAGCGUUAUCCGGAUUUAUUGGGUUUAAAGGGAGCGUAGGUGGACUGGUAAGUCAGUUGUGAAAGUUUGCGGCUCAACCGUAAAAUUGCAGUUGAUACUGUCAGUCUUGAGUACAGUAGAGGUGGGCGGAAUUCGUGGUGUAGCGGUGAAAUGCUUAGAUAUCACGAAGAACUUCGAUUGCGAAGGCAGCUCACUGGACUGCAACUGACACUGAUGCUUGAAAGUGUGGGUAUCAAACAGGAUUAGAUACCCUGGUAGUCCACACAGUAAACGACUGAAUACUCGCUGUUUGCGAUAUACAGUAAGCGGCCAAGCGAAAGCAUUAAGUAUUCCACCUGGGGAGUACGCCGGCAACGGUGCAACUCAAAUGAAUUGACGGA